GCCAGGUGCGGUGGCACAUGCCUGUAGUCCCAGCUACUCAGGAGGCUGAGGUGGGAGGAUCACUUAAGCCCAAGAGUUCUGGGCUGUAGUGCGCUUUGUCGAUUGGGUGUCCGCACUAAGUUCAGCAUCAAUAUGGUGACCUCCUGGGAGCGGGGGACCACCAGGUUGCCUAAAGAGGGGUGAACUGGCCCAGGUUGGAAAUGGAAAACGUCAAAACUCCUAUGCUGAUCAGUAGUGGGAUCGCACCUGUGAAUAGCCACUGCACUCCAGCCCAGGCAACAUAGUGAGACCCGAUUUCU
This 299-nucleotide signal recognition particle RNA is filed under the name Cebus imitator (Panamanian white-faced capuchin). RNAcentral describes it as "Metazoan signal recognition particle RNA (ENSCCAG00000009923.1)". It matches the Rfam family "Metazoan signal recognition particle RNA". Rfam says of the family: The signal recognition particle (SRP) is a universally conserved ribonucleoprotein. It is involved in the co-translational targeting of proteins to membranes. Lineage: Eukaryota; Metazoa; Chordata; Mammalia; Primates; Cebidae. The record is from RNAcentral.